Molecule: ribosomal RNA, 253 nt
Filed under: uncultured bacterium
Lineage: Bacteria
Description: partial 16S ribosomal RNA
Rfam family: Bacterial small subunit ribosomal RNA
Source: RNAcentral
UACAGAGGGUGCGAGCGUUAAUCGGAAUUACUGGGCGUAAAGCGCACGUAGGUGGCUUUGCAAGUCGAUUGUGAAAUCCCCGGGCUUAACCUGGGAACUGCAGUCGAAACUGCUUUGCUUGAGUAUGGGAGAGGGAGGUGGAAUUUCCGGUGUAGCGGUGAAAUGCGUAGAUAUCGGAAGGAACAUCAGUGGCGAAGGCGACCUCCUGGACCAAUACUGACACUCAAGUGCGAAAGCGUGGGGAGCAAACAGG